RNAcentral lists this ribosomal RNA (511 nucleotides) under uncultured bacterium. RNAcentral describes it as "bacterial SSU rRNA". It matches the Rfam family "Bacterial small subunit ribosomal RNA", at positions 15 to 518 of the family's 1533-position model. The record is from RNAcentral.
GAUCCUGGCUCAGGAUGAACGCUAGCGACAGGCCUAACACAUGCAAGUCGAGGGGCAGCGCGGGAGAAGCUUGCUUUCCUGGCGGCGACCGGCGCACGGGUGCGUAACAGGUGUGCAAUCUGUCCAUAGUCGGGGGAUAGCCCAGCGAAAGCUGAAUUAACACUCCAUGUGAAUCGAAGCCGCAUGACUUUGAUUUGAAACGCAAGGACUAUGGGUGAGCACGCUUCUGAUUAGGUAGUUGGUGGGGUAACGGCCCACCAAGCCGACGAUCAGUAGGGGUUCUGAGAGGAAGGUCCCCCCACAUUGGAACUGAGACACGGUCCAAACUCCUACGGGAGGCAGCAGUGAGGAAUAUUGGUCAAUGGGCGAGAGCCUGAACCAGCCAAGUCGCGUGAAGGAUGAAGGUUCUAUGGAUUGUAAACUUCUUUUGUCCGAGGGUAAAAAAGGUCACGUGUGACUUCUUGCAAGUAUCGGACGAAUAAGCAUCGGCUAACUCCGUGCCAGCCGCAGC